AAAUUGAAGAGUUUGAUCAUGGCUCAGAUUGAACGCUGGCGGCAGGCCUAACACAUGCAAGUCGAACGGUAACAGGAAGCAGCUUGCUGUUUCGCUGACGAGUGGCGGACGGGUGAGUAAUGUCUGGGAAACUGCCUGAUGGAGGGGGAUAACUACUGGAAACGGUGGCUAAUA
Molecule: ribosomal RNA, 174 nt
Filed under: Salmonella enterica
Lineage: Bacteria; Pseudomonadati; Pseudomonadota; Gammaproteobacteria; Enterobacterales; Enterobacteriaceae
Description: partial 16S ribosomal RNA
Rfam family: Bacterial small subunit ribosomal RNA
Source: RNAcentral